GCCGGGGUGACCGAGCGGCCUAAGGUGCCGGCCUCGAGAGCCGGUGCCCCUUAACGGGGCGCGUGGGUUCAAAUCCCACCCCCGGCG
RNAcentral lists this transfer RNA (87 nucleotides) under Thermoprotei archaeon. RNAcentral's name for it is "tRNA-Ser". It matches the Rfam family "tRNA". Rfam says of the family: Transfer RNA (tRNA) molecules are approximately 80 nucleotides in length. Their secondary structure includes four short double-helical elements and three loops (D, anti-codon, and T loops). The record is from RNAcentral. Lineage: Archaea; Thermoproteati; Thermoproteota; Thermoprotei.